This 424-nucleotide ribosomal RNA is filed under the name uncultured bacterium. Its description in RNAcentral is "bacterial SSU rRNA". It matches the Rfam family "Bacterial small subunit ribosomal RNA", at positions 123 to 541 of the family's 1533-position model. The record is from RNAcentral.
AAUCUACCUAGUAGAAGGGGAUAGCCCGGGGAAACCCGGAUUAAUACCGUAUACCUCCUUCGGGAGAAAGAAGGCCUCUCUUUGAAGCUUUCGCUAUUAGAUGAGCCUGCGUAAGAUUAGCUUGUUGGUGAGGUAAAGGCUCACCAAGGCGACGAUCUUUAGCUGGUCUGAGAGGACGAUCAGCCACAUUGGGACUGAGACACGGCCCAGACUCCUACGGGAGGCAGCAGUGGGGAAUAUUGGACAAUGGGCGCAAGCCUGAUCCAGCCAUACCGCGUGUGUGAAGAAGGCCUUCGGGUUGUAAAGCACUUUAAGCAGGGAGAAAAAGUUAUAAGUUAAUACCUUAUAACCGUGAUGUUACCUGCAGAAUAAGCACCGGCUAAUUCCGUGCCAGCAGCCGCGGUAAUACGGAAGGUGCAAGCGU